GGAAGUAAAAGUCGUAACAAGGUCUCCGUUGGUGAGCCAGCGGAGGGAUCAUUACUGAGUUUACGCUCUACAACCCUUUGUGAACAUACCUAUAACUGUUGCUUCGGCGGGUAGGGUCUCCGCGACCCUCCCGGCCUCCCGCCUCCGGGCGGGUCGGCGCCCGCCGGAGGAUAACCAAACUCUGAUUUAACGACGUUUCUUCUGAGUGGUACAAGCAAAUAAUCAAAACUUUUAACAACGGAUCUCUUGGUUCUGGCAUCGAUGAAGAACGCAGCGAAAUGCGAUAAGUAAUGUGAAUUGCAGAAUUCAGUGAAUCAUCGAAUCUUUGAACGCACAUUGCGCCCGCCAGCAUUCUGGCGGGCAUGCCUGUUCGAGCGUCAUUUCAACCCUCAAGCUCUGCUUGGUGUUGGGGCCCUACAGCCGAUGUAGGCCCUCAAAGGUAGUGGCGGACCCUCCCGGAGCCUCCUUUGCGUAGUAACUUUACGUCUCGCACUGGGAUCCGGAGGGACUCUUGCCGUAAAACCCCCCAAUUUUCCAAAGGUUGACCUCGGAUCAGGUAGGAAUACCCGCUGAACUUAAGCAUAUCAAUAAGCGGAGGA
This 599-nucleotide ribosomal RNA is filed under the name Colletotrichum gloeosporioides. Its description in RNAcentral is "eukaryotic LSU rRNA". The stretch from base 227 to 380 matches the Rfam family "5.8S ribosomal RNA". The record is from RNAcentral. Lineage: Eukaryota; Fungi; Ascomycota; Sordariomycetes; Glomerellales; Glomerellaceae.